AUCGCUUCUCGGCCUUUUGGCUAAGAUCAAAUGUGUAGUAUCUGUUCUUAUCAGCUUAAUAUCUGAUAGAUUCUCAUCGAGAAUCCAGAAUAUUAAUCUGAUUUUUGAAACUUGGCGAAAACCUGGAGCUUGCUCCAGCUUUGCCGCAAGUUGCCCUGACAUUGCAGAGCCGUCAGGUGCAGCUGAAUAAAU
Microplitis demolitor is the source of this 192-nucleotide small nuclear RNA. RefSeq annotates it as U2 spliceosomal RNA. Lineage: Eukaryota; Metazoa; Arthropoda; Insecta; Hymenoptera; Braconidae. The transcript has a single exon. The record is from RefSeq and is a predicted model, not a curated record.